GGUGCUGGGAGCCAUUAGCCAAGUAGGUAUGACAAUUUCCUUGCCAGCGUACCCCAUGUUGCAGUGACAUUGAAUGUAUGUGACCUUGCUCAAGGACCAAGGCAGAUUAGGGUGUUCCCGGUUUUAAGAUAAUCGUGUUUAGGGCGUUCCCAGUUUAGGUUCCAGGUUUAAGGUUUAAGAUUAUUCCUGCUGGGAGUAGGGCGUAUCCUGCUGCCUGAGUUCCCCUUGAGUUCUCACGGGAUUCAGACAAUAUAUUUUGGGAGACAGAAGCCCAGUGGAGGUGGAUUUGGGAAGAGAACGUGGAUUUCCCCAGAACGUGAUUGUAGACGGCUGGUGUGAGUUCGGGAAUAAAGAGUUGCUGUUUGAAUCUACAA
Molecule: long non-coding RNA, 374 nt
Filed under: Marmota monax (woodchuck)
Lineage: Eukaryota; Metazoa; Chordata; Mammalia; Rodentia; Sciuridae
Source: RNAcentral